RNAcentral lists this ribosomal RNA (500 nucleotides) under uncultured Sphingobacteriales bacterium. RNAcentral's name for it is "bacterial SSU rRNA". It matches the Rfam family "Bacterial small subunit ribosomal RNA", at positions 903 to 1382 of the family's 1533-position model. Lineage: Bacteria; Pseudomonadati; Bacteroidota; Sphingobacteriia; Sphingobacteriales. The record is from RNAcentral.
CCUUGCCAGCCCGCUCAGAAACUCAAAGGAAUUGACGGGGGCCGCACAAGCGGUGGAGCAUGUGGUUUAAUUCGAUGAUACGCGAGGAACCUUACCUGGGCUCAAAUGUAUGUUGACGUAUUCUGAAAGGGAUACUUCUUCGGACAAUAUACAAGGUGCUGCAUGGUUGUCGUCAGCUCGUGCCGUGAGGUGUCGGGUUAAGUCCCAUAACGAGCGCAACCCCUAUCAUUAGUUGCCAUCAGGUCAAGCUGGGGACUCUAAUGAAACUGCCUACGCAAGUAGUGAGGAAGGUGGGGAUGACGUCAAAUCAGCACGGCCCUUACGUCCAGGGCUACACACGUGCUACAAUGGCCGGUACAAAGGGCAGCUACCUGGUGACAGGAUGCUAAUCUCAAAAGCCGGUCUCAGUUCGGAUCGGAGUCUGCAACCCGACUCCGUGAAGUUGGAUUCGCUAGUAAUCGCGCAUCAGCCAUGGCGCGGUGAAUACGUUCCCGGGCCUU